GUGUCUUUUUAAAAAACUUUUCAUUUGGAGAUAAUUCGACUCACAUGCAGUUGUAAGAAGUAAUAUAGGAAGAUCCUGUAUGUGUUCACCCAGCUUCCCCCAGUGUGAACAAUAACAAAGUGAGUGGCACGUAUGUAUGACCCACCUAAAGAAAAAGAACACUACCAGAAUAUUACCAGUACCUUAGGAGCUCCCUGGGUGCACCACCAUCCAUCUCCCCUUCCUUUCCCACAGCUGUAACCAUUAUGGAAUUGAAAGACUACUCGGUAGGUGUCAGACUUCUCCGGAGGGAUCGAAUCAGCGCAUGUGCCCGGCGCGGGCUGCCCCAGGGCCACAGCUCCGCCGCGCCGGGUCUGUGCUUGGUCAGCUCGGCCGGCCCCCACCACACCUGCAAGCUGCAGCAGCUGCUCCCCUACAUAGAUAUUAUUAACAGUAUUUUCUCCCAUGAGGAAGAAGUCCAUAGAUAUUAAAUUUAUUAGUAUGUUUGAUAUUUCGUGUGGGUCAAACUGAAUUACAAUAAUUGUCAAUU
Molecule: long non-coding RNA, 529 nt
Organism: Lagenorhynchus albirostris (white-beaked dolphin)
Lineage: Eukaryota; Metazoa; Chordata; Mammalia; Artiodactyla; Delphinidae
Exons: 3
Source: RefSeq, a predicted model, not a curated record